GCCGAGAUAGCUCAGGCGGUAGAGCAGGGGACUGAAAAUCCCCGUGUCGCCGGUUCGAUUCCGGCUCUCGGCACCA
RNAcentral lists this transfer RNA (76 nucleotides) under Bacillota bacterium. RNAcentral describes it as "Firmicutes bacterium (anaerobic digester metagenome) tRNA-Phe". It matches the Rfam family "tRNA". From Rfam's summary of the family: Transfer RNA (tRNA) molecules are approximately 80 nucleotides in length. Lineage: Bacteria; Bacillati; Bacillota. The record is from RNAcentral.